RNAcentral lists this ribosomal RNA (465 nucleotides) under uncultured bacterium. RNAcentral's name for it is "partial 16S ribosomal RNA". It matches the Rfam family "Bacterial small subunit ribosomal RNA", at positions 28 to 507 of the family's 1533-position model. The record is from RNAcentral.
GACGAACGCUGGCGGCGUGCUUAACACAUGCAAGUCGUACGGUAAGGCCCUUUCGGGGGUACACGAGUGGCGCACGGGUGAGUAACACGUGAGUAACCUGCCCACAACUUUGGGAUAACGCUAGGAAACUGGGGCUAAUACUGGAUAUGUGCCCCUGCUGCAUGGUGGGGGUUGGAAAGCUCCGGCGGUUGUGGAUGGACUCGCGGCCUAUCAGCUUGUUGGUGGGGUAGUGGGCUACCAAGGCGGCGACGGGUAGCCGGCCUGAGAGGGUGACCGGGCACAUUGGGACUGAGAUACGGCCCAGACCCCCACGGGAGGCAGCAGGGGGGAAUAUUGCACAAUGGGCGCCAGCCUGAUGGAGCAACGCCGCGGGCGGGAUGACGGCCUUCGGGUUGGAAACCGCUUUCAGCAGGGAAGAAGCUGUUUGUGACGGUACCUGCAGAAGAAGCACCGGCUAACUACGUG